AUUGAACGCUGGCGGCAGGCCUAACACAUGCAAGUCGAACGGCAACAGAAAGAGAGUUUCUUCUUUGCUGACGAGAGUCGGACGGGUGUGUGAUGUCUGGCGAACUGCCUUUUUUCGUGGGAUAACUACUGGAAACGCUAGCGAAUACCGCAUAAUCUCCCUACACCAGAGAGGGGGACCUUCUCGCCUCUUGCCAUCUUGAAUGCGCAGAUGGGAUUUGCUAGUGGGUGGGGUAACGGCGCACCUAGGCGACGAUCCCUAGCUGGUCUGAGAGGAUGACCAGCCACACUGGAACUGAGACACGGUCCAGACUCCUACGGGAGGCAGCAGUGGGGAAUAUUGGACAAUGGGCGCAAGCCUGAUGCAGCCAUGCCGCGUGUAUGAAGAAGGCCUUCGGGUUGUAAAGCACUUUUAGUGGGGAAGAAGGGCAGCAGGUUAAUACCCCUGUUCUCUGACGUUACCCGAAGAAGAAGCACCGGCUAACUUCGUG
This 490-nucleotide ribosomal RNA is filed under the name uncultured bacterium. RNAcentral describes it as "partial 16S ribosomal RNA". It matches the Rfam family "Bacterial small subunit ribosomal RNA", at positions 30 to 507 of the family's 1533-position model. The record is from RNAcentral.